Molecule: ribosomal RNA, 483 nt
Filed under: uncultured bacterium
Lineage: Bacteria
Description: partial 16S ribosomal RNA
Rfam family: Bacterial small subunit ribosomal RNA
Source: RNAcentral
GACGAACGCUGGCGGCGUGCCUAACACAUGCAAGUCGAGCGGGGAUUUAAGUGGAAGUUCUUCGGAAUGGAGAUUUAAAUUCUAGCGGCGGACGGGUGAGUAACGCGUGAACAAUCUGUCCCGGACAGGGGGAUAACACUUGGAAACAGGUGCUAAUACCGCAUAAGACCACGGCCUCGCAUGGGGCUGAGGUAAAAGGAGCAAUCCGGUUCGGGGUGAGUUCGCGUCCGAUUAGCUAGUUGGUGAGGUAACGGCCCACCAAGGCGACGAUCGGUAGCCGGCCUGAGAGGGGGAACGGCCACAUUGGAACUGAGAGACGGUCCAAACGCCUACGGGAGGAGGCAGUGGGGAAUAUUGGGCAAUGGGCGAAAGCCUGACCCAGCAACGCCGCGUGAGGGAGGAAGGUUUUCGGAGUGUAAACCUCUGUCCUAUGGGACGAAGGAAGUGACGGUACCAUAGGAGGAAGCCCCGGCUAACUACGUG